This 242-nucleotide ribosomal RNA is filed under the name uncultured bacterium. Its description in RNAcentral is "partial 16S ribosomal RNA". It matches the Rfam family "Bacterial small subunit ribosomal RNA", at positions 793 to 1055 of the family's 1533-position model. The record is from RNAcentral.
GUCCAUGCUGUAAAUCUGAGUGCUGAAGAUUGGAGAAUUUCAGUCUUAAGCUAACGCGGGAAGCACUCCACCUGGAAUGUACGACCGCAAGGUUAACUUAAGGAAGUGGCGGAGAUACCUUCAAGCGGUGAAGCAUGUGGUUUAAUUCGAUACAACCCGAACCUUACCAGUCAUUGAAUAGUUAGGAAUGUAAUAUCGAAAGAUAUUAAUAGUUACUUUCACAGGUGCUGCAUGGCUGUCGU